RNAcentral lists this small nuclear RNA (107 nucleotides) under Saimiri boliviensis boliviensis (Bolivian squirrel monkey). Lineage: Eukaryota; Metazoa; Chordata; Mammalia; Primates; Cebidae. The record is from RNAcentral.
AUGCUCGCUUUGGCAGCACAUAUACUAAAACUGGAAUGAUACAGAGAAAAUUUGCAUGGACACUGAGCAAGGAUGACAGGCAAAUGUGUGAAGCAUUCCAUAUUUAA